RNAcentral lists this ribosomal RNA (305 nucleotides) under uncultured bacterium. RNAcentral's name for it is "bacterial SSU rRNA". It matches the Rfam family "Bacterial small subunit ribosomal RNA", at positions 333 to 636 of the family's 1533-position model. The record is from RNAcentral.
GACCGCCUACGGGACGCAGCAGUGAGGAAUAUUGGUCAAUGGCCGAGAGGCUGAACCAGCCAAGUCGCGUGAGGGAUGACGGCCCUACGGGUUGUAAACCUCUUUUGUCGGGGAGCAAAGAGAGUUACGUGUGGCUCAUUGAGAGUACCCGAAGAAAAAGCAUCGGCUAACUCCGUGCCAGCAGCCGCGGUAAUACGGAGGAUGCGAGCGUUAUCCGGAUUUAUUGGGUUUAAAGGGUGCGCAGGCGGAGGUGCAAGUCAGUGGUCAAAUUGCGGGGCUCAACCCCGUACUGCCGUUGAAUCUGC